UGGACUGGAUGCAUUCACUGCUGUAGCUGUAGUACAACUGCUUAGGAAUUUGUCAAGGAACAGUGAGAGGAUUAUUGUCAUGUCCAUCCACCAGCCGAGAUAUUCCAUUUAUAAACAGUUUGACUCUCUCACUCUUCUCUCCCAGGGGAACAUGGUUUAUCAUGGAGCAAUAAAGGAGACACUUCCAUAUUUUAUUAACCUUGGGUAUUUUUGUGAGGAGCAUGACAAUCCUGCUGACUUUCUACUUGAUGUUAUUAAUCAGUGUGAAGGACUGACAUCAGCC
Molecule: long non-coding RNA, 283 nt
Organism: Amphimedon queenslandica
Lineage: Eukaryota; Metazoa; Porifera; Demospongiae; Haplosclerida; Niphatidae
Exons: 3
Source: RefSeq, a predicted model, not a curated record